AGGGGUAAUCUCAGUCAUACCUGAGGAUUCGGCGGACAGGGAAGAUGAGGGGGAGGAAGAGGAGAACGAGCUUGCAGAGAGUACACAGCACACCGUUCUUCUCAACAGCCAGGACCUUUUUCUCAGCCUGACGGAAUUACCCUCCCAUCCCUCCCAAUCCAGUAGCCCAGACAAUGAGGCCAUGGAAGGGACCUCUGCUGCAAAUUUUCAAUCCUCCCUACUCAUCCCAAGGCUAUCUCAGAUAGGCAGUGGAA
Non-coding RNA from Chelonoidis abingdonii (Abingdon island giant tortoise), 254 nucleotides. The record is from RefSeq and is a predicted model, not a curated record. Lineage: Eukaryota; Metazoa; Chordata; Testudines; Testudinidae.